GAUGAACGCUGGCGGCGUGCCUAAUACAUGCAAGUCGAGCGAACGGACGAGAAGCUUGCUUCUCUGAUGUUAGCGGCGGACGGGUGAGUAACACGUGGAUAACCUACCUAUAAGACUGGGAUAACUUCGGGAAACCGGAGCUAAUACCGGAUAAUCUUUUGAACCGCAUGGUUCAAAAGUGAAAGACGGUCUUGCUGUCACUUAUAGAUGGAUCCGCGCUGCAUUAGCUAGUUGGUAAGGUAACGGCUUACCAAGGCAACGAUGCAUAGCCGACCUGAGAGGGUGAUAGGCCACACUGGAACUGAGACGCGGUCCAGACUCCUACGGGAGGCAGCAGUAGGGAAUCUUCCGCAAUAGGCGAAAGCCUGACGGAGCAACGCCACGUGAGUGAUGAAGGUCUUCGGAUCGUAAAACUCUGUUAUUAGGGAAGAACAUAUGUGUAAGUAACUGUGCACAUCUUGACGGUACCUAAUCAGAAAGCCACGGCUAACUACGUG
RNAcentral lists this ribosomal RNA (497 nucleotides) under uncultured bacterium. Its description in RNAcentral is "partial 16S ribosomal RNA". It matches the Rfam family "Bacterial small subunit ribosomal RNA", at positions 28 to 507 of the family's 1533-position model. The record is from RNAcentral.